CCAAAACUCAAAAUAGAUUUUGAAAUUCCCUCUACAUUCAUCUAUAAAUAAGGGAUGUUCCUAUACAUAACUAUUCCCUUCACAAUUCUAAAAAAAUCACCAACAAUGGUGAGCAAAAAUCUGUCAAACCAAGAGAUGAAUCGAAUCGUCCAAUAUCUACUACAAAAUCUGAAAAACGGCAAGCCAAGGAGUGGAGCCAUGAAGGAGGCUGUCACCAUCUUCAAGUCCUCGAAGCGGACUGUCACUCGUCUUUGGGCUGCAGCUAAUAAACAACAAGACAAAGGUGAGCAAAUUUAUCUUACAAGUGCAAAACCAAAUGCACCUAGAAGGAAGAGAGUUCAUGUAGACCUAGAGCUAAUACAAAGCUUAGAUCUACAAAAAUGAUCGACAAUACGUAGGCUGGCCGUGGGGAUCAAUCGAAGCAAAAACACAGUUUGGAGGUGGGUUAAUCAAGGGCUGAUCAGAGCCCACACAAGCGCAAUUAAGUCUGACUUGACAGCCCCGAAUAAAUUGCUUCGACUACAGUUUUUAUUAGAAGCAUUGGAGUUUGAUCAAAUCAUGAUGGCGUUAAAGUUGAAGGCCAUGAAC
This 588-nucleotide long non-coding RNA is filed under the name Salvia miltiorrhiza (redroot sage). RNAcentral describes it as "long non-coding RNA (SMIL_LNC001860)". Lineage: Eukaryota; Viridiplantae; Streptophyta; Magnoliopsida; Lamiales; Lamiaceae. The record is from RNAcentral.